This 473-nucleotide ribosomal RNA is filed under the name uncultured bacterium. RNAcentral describes it as "bacterial SSU rRNA". It matches the Rfam family "Bacterial small subunit ribosomal RNA", at positions 355 to 825 of the family's 1533-position model. The record is from RNAcentral.
UGGGGAAUAUUGGGCAAUGGGCGCAAGCCUGACCCAGCGACGCCGCGUGGGUGAUGAAGGCCUUCGGGUCGUAAAGCCCUGUCGGGUGGAAAGAACGGUAUGGGUGCAAAUAGCGCUCAUACGUGACGGUACCACCGAAGGAAGCACCGGCCAAUUCCGUGCCAGCAGCCGCGGUAAGACGGAAGGUGCAAGCGUUGCUCGGAAUCACUGGGCGUAAAGGGCUCGUAGGCGGCCAACUAAGUCAGACGUGAAAUCCCUCGGCUUAACCGGGGAACUGCGUCUGAUACUGGAUGGCUUGAGGUUGGGAGAGGGAUGCGGAAUUCCAGGUGUAGCGGUGAAAUGCGUAGAUAUCUGGAGGAACACCGGUGGCGAAGGCGACAUCCUGGACCAAUUCUGACGCUGAGGAGCGAAAGCCAGGGGAGCAAACGGGAUUAGAUACCCCCGUAGUCCCUGAGCGGGCUGGCAAGGCGCAU